GACGAACGCUGGCGGCGUGCUUAACACAUGCAAGUCGAGCGGUAAGGCCCUUUUGGGGGUACACGAGCGGCGAACGGGUGAGUAACACGUGGGUGACCUGCCCUCAGCUCUGGGAUAAGCCUGGGAAACUGGGUCUAAUACUGGAUAUGACCUUUCCUCGCAUGGGGUUGGGUGGAAAGUUUUUCGGCUGGGGAUGGGCCCGCGGCCUAUCAGCUUGUUGGUGGGGUGAUGGCCUACCAAGGCGACGACGGGUAGCCGGCCUGAGAGGGCGGCCGGCCACACUGGGACUGAGACACGGCCCAGACUCCUACGGGAGGCAGCAGUGGGGAAUAUUGCGCAAUGGGCGGAAGCCUGACGCAGCGACGCCGCGUGGGGGAUGACGGCCUCGGUUGUAAC
RNAcentral lists this ribosomal RNA (396 nucleotides) under uncultured bacterium. RNAcentral's name for it is "bacterial SSU rRNA". It matches the Rfam family "Bacterial small subunit ribosomal RNA", at positions 28 to 429 of the family's 1533-position model. The record is from RNAcentral.